RNAcentral lists this unclassified non-coding RNA (334 nucleotides) under soil metagenome. RNAcentral describes it as "partial contains 5.8S ribosomal RNA, internal transcribed spacer 2, and large subunit ribosomal RNA". The stretch from base 1 to 120 matches the Rfam family "5.8S ribosomal RNA", at positions 35 to 154 of the family's 154-position model. The record is from RNAcentral.
GAUGAAGAACGCAGUGAAAUGCGAUAAGUAGUGUGAAUUGCAGAAUUCAGUGAAUCAUCGAAUCUUUGAACGCACAUUGCGCCCCUUGGUAUUCCAUGGGGCAUGCCUGUUCGAGCGUCAUUUGUACCUUCAAGCUCUGCUUGGUGUUGGGUGUUUGUCCUUGCUCUAGUGGCGGGACUCGCCUUAAAGUAAUUGGCAGCCAGUGUUUUGGUUUUGAAGCGCAGCACAAGUCGCGAUUCAAGUCUAUACGCUAGUUUCCACAAGUCUUUUAUCACUUUUGACCUCGGAUCAGGUAGGGAUACCGCUGAACUUAAGCAUAUCAAUAAGCGGAGGA